UAGUCUGAAAUGAUGACUCUCUUAAAUUUCAUAACUUUUCUUUGACAUUUUUCUCUGGAGAAAGAUUUUUUCUUACUCAUUGGAUCAGAAUG
Small nucleolar RNA from Zalophus californianus (California sea lion), 92 nucleotides. The record is from Ensembl. NCBI's taxonomy places the organism in Eukaryota, Metazoa, Chordata, Mammalia, Carnivora, Otariidae.